Molecule: ribosomal RNA, 255 nt
Filed under: uncultured bacterium
Lineage: Bacteria
Description: partial 16S ribosomal RNA
Rfam family: Bacterial small subunit ribosomal RNA
Source: RNAcentral
CACGUAGGGGCCAAGCGUUGUCCGGAUUUAUUGGGCGUAAAGAGCUCGUAGGCGGUUGGGUAAGUCGGGUGUGAAAACUCUGGGCUCAACUCAGAGACGCCACCCGAUACUGCUCUGACUUGAGUCCGGUAGGGGAGUGGGGAAUUCCUGGUGUAGCGGUGAAAUGCGCAGAUAUCAGGAGGAACACCGGUGGCGAAGGCGCCCACUCUGGGCCGGAACUGACGCUGAGGAGCGAAAGCGUGGGUAGCAAACAGG